This 765-nucleotide ribosomal RNA is filed under the name uncultured Streptococcus sp. RNAcentral's name for it is "bacterial SSU rRNA". It matches the Rfam family "Bacterial small subunit ribosomal RNA", at positions 28 to 776 of the family's 1533-position model. Lineage: Bacteria; Bacillati; Bacillota; Bacilli; Lactobacillales; Streptococcaceae. The record is from RNAcentral.
GACGAACGCAGGCGGCGUGCCUAAUACAUGCAAGUAGAACGCUGAAGAGAGGAGCUUGCUCUUCUUGGAUGAGUUGCGAACGGGUGAGUAACGCGUAGGUAACCUGCCUGGUAGCGGGGGAUAACUAUUGGAAACGAUAGCUAAUACCGCAUAAUAGUAGAUGUUGCAUGACAUUUGCUUAAAAGGUGCAAUUGCAUCACUACCAGAUGGACCUGCGUUGUAUUAGCUAGCUGGUGGGGUAACGGCUCACCAAGGCAACGAUACAUAGCCGACCUGAGAGGGUGAUCGGCCACACUGGGACUGAGACACGGCCCAGACUCCUACGGGAGGCAGCAGUAGGGAAUCUUCGGCAAUGGACGGAAGUCUGACCGAGCAACGCCGCGUGAGUGAAGAAGGUUUUCGGAUCGUAAAGCUCUGUUGUAAGAGAAGAACGAGUGUGAGAGUGGAAAGUUCACACUGUGACGGUAUCUUACCAGAAAGGGACGGCUAACUACGUGCCAGCAGCCGCGGUAAUACGUAGGUCCCGAGCGUUGUCCGGAUUUAUUGGGCGUAAAGCGAGCGCAGGCGGUUAGAUAAGUCUGAAGUUAAAGGCUGUGGCUUAACCAUAGUACGCUUUGGAAACUGUUUAACUUGAGUGCAAGAGGGGAGAGUGGAAUUCCAUGUGUAGCGGUGAAAUGCGUAGAUAUAUGGAGGAACACCGGUGGCGAAAGCGGCUCUCUGGCUUGUAACUGACGCUGAGGCUCGAAAGCGUGGGGAGCAAACAGG